Molecule: long non-coding RNA, 3579 nt
Organism: Cebus imitator (Panamanian white-faced capuchin)
Lineage: Eukaryota; Metazoa; Chordata; Mammalia; Primates; Cebidae
Exons: 2
Source: RefSeq, a predicted model, not a curated record
AACUUGAGUAACAUGCCAUUCCACCUCUGGACUCUAGAAGAAAAAAACACUAAGGUCAUGCUUAAAAUAAAAAAGAGUGAAGGGAUAAGGAUCAUACCAGAGGUAAAACCGCAGACUUUCCCCACCUUUUUAUUAAGGUAUUAGGCAGGUUACAAUUUGACAGUGAGAUCAUUUCUCUGGAACCAGGAAGGCACUGUGGGUUUGUUUUGCCAACACACACUCUGACCCCUGUGAGAGCUUCUGAAUCAGGUGCCCGGUCUUGGUAGGAAGCAGUGAUUACUACUUAUUUUUCAAAGGCUAUUUAAACAGACUCUAGGAGUCAAAAGGGAGACAGAAAAAAAGUUUCAUUUAUUUUCUAACUACAAAAGAACUUGAAAUUCCAUGUUGUAAGAAAGACUUCACCUUCUGCUUACUAACUGGCUUCCUAAAGAACCCAAAAAGUCACGUGCAUAAAGUUGUGCUUUUGUAAUAUGUUUAUGUUUAAUUUUUUUUUUAAUUUAAGUUCCAGAGGACAUAAACAUCACUUGGAUUGCCUAAAUAACGAAUGCUGGUUUAGCCUCUUACCAGGAAAAGUCUUUGCAGAACCUCUGCUUCCACAUCUAUAAAUCCACUUCUUGCCCUCUGGGAGACCUUAUUGAGGUUAAAUAAUCUCCUCUCCCUAAAAGUGUUAAAUCUAGGGUCUGGCACAUAUUGGGAUUCACUAAAUAUUCAUUUCCUUCCUUCCUCCCGACAUUUGGUGAUUGAGGCCAAUGACCAACGCUGUGAUAAAUGGAAAUGGGGAAGAUGAGGAGGAUGAGUAAAAAAUUCUAAUGCAGCUGAGAGGAAUAUUUGGCUGCAAUUCAAUUUCAGAGUUAAUAUAGAGAUAUAGCAUUCAUCAUGUUGUAAGGCAGAAAAAAUAUCAUCUUAGUUAUCUGCUAAGGAGAGCUGGGAAAAGUCAAGAAAAGACAACUUGCGACACUGAUCCUUUGUUUGCUGCUCCAAGCAUUAAAAUUGGUAAACUCACCAUACUCUGUUGCAGCUUAACUGUCUGUUCGACAGUUAAAAAUAAAGAAAUACAGUAACUGGAUCUGUCACAAGAAAAGAUGUAUUGGUCUCAAUGGAAAAAAACCUCCCCUGAAAAAUUAAAGCUUCAUUUGACACAAUGGGUUCUCGGGUUGUUUUCAGGAGACAUGAUAAAAAGCAGAGUGGAGUCAGUCAUAAGUUUCUGACUCAUUACAUAGAAGCCCCAGAGAGCUGAUUAUUAACUAAAAAUGGAACACGGUUCUAUCCCGUAUUGAAGGCAAAACAAGAGGCAGAAUGGAAACACAAAUUUCCCCAUCGAAGCAUACGUGGCCCAAACACGGUGGUCAAGGGCAGGUGUCUUCCACAGUUAACCUGCUUAUGGAAUACGGCUGAUCGCCCAAGAAAAUCACGCGAGUCACUCUCAGUAUGUUGCUACGAGUGGCCGUACUGGUAUGCCAGGGAGAUUCCCUUUCUCACAUGUUUAAAAGGGCAUUUGGGGAAGUAGUCCUUACCCUAAGCUAUUUUAGUUUAGUUUGUCAAAAAUGUAUCAGAGGCUCAAGUAUAACCUCACUAUAAUCUUGCACUGCAGAAAUCAAAGCAAGUAAAAAUUUUGCCAGCAGAUACUAUCUUUUCUCUGCACAGGGUUAAAGUUUAUAAUUUCUGGAGGGAAAGGAUAGUAUCUGGUCACAGAAUUUUGACCUGCCCAGCUGCCUGCAGCAUGUUUGGGGUGAGGGUUACCCUCUCACUUUGGUUAGACUCCCCACUUCUGCUCCCUUUUGCUGGUAUCUAAGCGCAUGGCUGUUUUCCUCAGGUGAAUUCUACCCUUUGUUAAUUGGAUGUUAACAAGGAGCUACACCUGAGAAGUCCCUCUCUGAUGGAAUGAUGAGGUAGGUAGGGAUGGUCAUGGUCACGGGGGUGGUGGCACCUAUGAGAAAGCCCCAUGACUUGAAAGAGAGAGGAAUAAUCAUUCAAUCCUUACUCACACUGAAGGACAGAUGGAUGCAUCUUUUGUCUGGCAAAUGGCAAGCAGAGAAAUGGUGCUGUGGCAUAUAUAGAAUUGGACAUAUAUCAGAACAACAAGUGACAAUCUAUAAAAAUAUGUUUUUAAGUGAAAACAGCUUUGUUAGCAUUUUAAAAGUUUUACAAUCUCCAUUUAAAUAAACAGGACCAUAAGCCCAAAAAGUCCGAAGGCAAACACCUGCUCUUUAGGAACAGGAGCAUCACGACGGACUGUGAAGUUCUGUAAAUAGCACUGUAGAUGCGUCUCAAUAAGUAGAACAGUAACAUAACCUCAAACCAAAACAAAACAGAAGCUUUUUCCCUCCCUCAAAGGAAGAGCCCUGUUCUGGUUCAAAACCUCCUUGUAUUUUUUGGCAUACAAGUUAUUUAAGAAAGAUAGUUCUUCAAAUUACCCUGUUCCAGUCAGUCUAAUCAGAGCCUUGAUUGUCUUUUACUUAAAAACAAUUAAUGAAAUGUUUUAAGAAUUGUAGACUGCUGUUUAUUAAGUCUUCUUAGUGUGCAUAAAUAGUGCUUAGUGGGUUAAUAUUUAACAAGGGAACUCCCCCUGCCUUUCAGUUCUCUUAAGCAUAUGUCUAUGUUAUACAGUAUUUUUUAAAGUACCUACAUUUUGUCUCUAUUUAAAUUAGGCCUAAUGCACACAUGAACAGCCAUAUAGUCAGAAAUAACAUUCUUAGGCCAAGAUUGAAGUACAUACAAAAUAACUUAUAGUUACUUGCUUUUUCCCUCUAAGUCUCUGAGUCUAGGAUCAGGCUUAUCAGGCAGUAUGGUAAUGGUGAGUUUCUUCAGGCACCUGCAACACUCGCCUGUGAGUUUAUCCAGGGCAGAGGCUCCUUCCCAUGUCCCCAGCCUAACCCAGGGCAGGACUCAUGUAAGACUGGCAAUCAUGUCUGUGGAAUAACUGUCUCAGUCCUUGGAUGAUUUUCAUCAUUGAUCCUGUUUAGACAUCAAAUAUUAAGGUUGCUUUAACCAAACCAAGAGGCACGAAAGAGAAACUUCACAGUGGGGUAAAUUCACAGAGUGGUCUCCUAUGUGUAGCUGACAGAAAGGAUGACCAGGUUGAGAAGUUACUGUUAUGCCUGAAUAAGGUGAUAUUAGAUUACUUUAAAAAUGCUGAACAGAACCUUUGAACCUCAAAUACAAUAUAUCUCUGGGGGAAAAAAAGAAAACUUUCUACUUGUACACUACAAAGACAGUGUUGUUUGCUAGCACAAAUGCACUUCUGCUGAGAUACUGCUUUGCUAAACUGCUGCUAAGACACAAUGAGUGACCUUAGAAAUGGGUGUGGAGGUAUACCGGGUGGGAAGCAUCACGUUAACACACAGCACCCACACACUCACUCACGAGUGGGCUUAUCAUCCCUCCAAAAAGCACAAUACUACUGAAACAGAGAUAAGAAAAAACUACAAGAAUUUUGCUUGCUUUUUUUUUUUUUUUUACUUUGUGGCUUUCUGUUACCUGGUACACUGUGUGGCCUGAUGACAUUUAAGUAAUCUGAAAUGUACCAGUUCAAUCAAAGAUUGCUAAAAAGAACAAUCCGUUCUCAUUAGAAAGUACAAC